UACGAAGGGGGCUAGCGUUGCUCGGAAUCACUGGGCGUAAAGCGCACGUAGGCGGCUUUGUAAGUUAGAGGUGAAAGCCCGGGGCUCAACCCCGGAACUGCCUUUAAGACUGCAUCGCUUGAAUCCAGGAGAGGUGAGUGGAAUUCCGAGUGUAGAGGUGAAAUUCGUAGAUAUUCGGAAGAACACCAGUGGCGAAGGCGGCUCACUGGACUGGUAUUGACGCUGAUGUGCGAAAGCGUGGGGAGCAAACAGG
Molecule: ribosomal RNA, 253 nt
Filed under: uncultured bacterium
Lineage: Bacteria
Description: partial 16S ribosomal RNA
Rfam family: Bacterial small subunit ribosomal RNA
Source: RNAcentral